AUAAAACCCUUUUUGUCAAUAUGAAUAAACAUGAAUAAGAAUGAAUGUUUGGACUUAGAAUUUUUUUGCAUACAUUUCAUGAAUAAGAAUGAAUAAUGAGGAAUAAAUUUUGGACUUAGAAUAUUUUUUCCAUUGUGUGACAAACAUGAAUAAGCAUGAAUAAAGCUGCAUGAUAAUGACUCAGAACUAUUUGUGGUAAACGGCAUAAAAAUUGAUAAUGAAAUUUGUUCUAGGACUUUUGUAUACGUAUAUUUUUACUUGAUUGUUGAUGCGGAAUAACAUACAUGUACAUGUAUGUAUUCCACAGUUAAAUGAAAAAAAUAUAUGAUAAUUUUAAUAGAUAGCUCAUGUAGGUGAUAUUCAUAACAUCUUCAUACAAAACACUGCCCCUGCGAGAUGAAAUUCAUGAACUGAUGAACCACCAUGAACUGUUCAUGAAUGUUCAUGAACAAUGCAUGACUGUUCAUAAUGAGUUCAUUAAGUUUCGUUCAUGAAUUUAGUUCAUGAAUAGUUCAUAAAAUGCAGUUCAUGAAUAUUUUCUGAACUUUAAUGAACUGUAAGUCAGUUCAUAAUGUUCAUAAAUUGUUCAUAACACAUGUUCAUGAACAUUUUAUGAACUUUAAUGAAUAAAUGAAUACAUAAAGUUUAUAAAAAAAUUCAUAAAUUUGACUGUCAUACAAGUUCUCAUAAAAUUUGACAUCCAUUACAUUGUAUCAUGACAUCACAAUUAAAGUGCUUUUAGCAUGACCUCUAGUUUAUUCAUUUACAGAUCUUGAGAUCAUUUUGAGACAAAAUUCAGUUGAAUAGCAAAAGUGUAAAUACAUGUAUGAGGGGGAGGACAGGGGUAAGGGAGACAGGGAGGAAGGGUGUAGGAGAAAGGAGAAAGGGUGUAGGAGAAAGGAGAAAGGGGUAGGAGAAAGGAGAGGAAGGCUGGGAGAAAGAGAAAAAGUUGGAGAAAAAAAAUAAAAUAUGAAAAAAUAAAAUAUCUCUCUUUUUUGUGGUAAAUUAAAGAAAAUAAAAUAAUCAUUAAAAAAAAAAUCAUUUAACAACAGAUAUUAGCUCAGCACCUUUUUCUUUUUUUCAUACUAUGCCAGAAGAGUGUUACAUUUUUAGAGUCAUACAAAAUUUGGGACUCACUUUGAAGUUUUGUAACUUACUUUGAGCUGGAGAUGUUUCUCAUGUUUCGUUUUUACAAUCAUGACAAAUUUGGUAAACUUAAUUUCUUUCUUCUAAAGAUGUAAUUUCUGAUUGUCUCUCAAAGUUCAAACAUGUGCCUUUCUUAACCAUCAUACGGCACAUAGAGGAACUUGGAAAAUAAGGACAGAUUAAUGACAAUUCAUUCUUUCCCAAACAUUGCAGACUGGUGUCAAUAAUUAUCAUUAUUAAUGAAUUACGUUUACCUAUUGUAAAACGCUUCAAUGACUUUGACAAAAGAUUACAAUGUAGACAAAUGAUUACAAGUGACUGGGAAUAGAAAAACGUCAUAAUGACGUCAGCAAAAUGAUGUUUUUGACGCUUACAAUACAAAUGAAGAUGUUUGAUGAGGAGUGAAGUAAUAUAGCUGUCAAAACAAAGCAGAUUUGUUAUCAGAUAAGUAAAUUAUAUAUAUUUUGAUUAUAUUUUUUUGCUGAAUAACUAUUUGUUGAAGCAUUUUAUAAUAAUUAUUGAUUAAUUAAAAUAAAUAUAAAACACCAGAAAGUAGCCUUUACAUUUUACAGUGU
RNAcentral lists this long non-coding RNA (1721 nucleotides) under Mytilus galloprovincialis (Mediterranean mussel). The record is from RNAcentral. Lineage: Eukaryota; Metazoa; Mollusca; Bivalvia; Mytilida; Mytilidae.